Molecule: non-coding RNA, 257 nt
Organism: Pelobates cultripes (western spadefoot toad)
Lineage: Eukaryota; Metazoa; Chordata; Amphibia; Anura; Pelobatidae
Source: the annotation of a GenBank genome assembly
CAACCCCUUCAUGUUUCUCUUUCACCCCAUGUGUCUCUCCUCCAACCUGCAUCCUUUGGAGAAAGCCUUAGUCGCCAUGGCUCCCCUGACCGAGUGUGCUCCAUACACCGAAGUGUCGAUGCCCGCUGAUUCCAUAAUCCAUUUGACCCAACGAGACAAUGUGACUGUUGAAACAGGGUGAUAUGGAUGACGAAGGGCCAAGAAUAACUCCGGAUAUGCAGGGUCACGAGUCGAAGAAGUCCUGGACUCGUAUUCCU